This 228-nucleotide ribosomal RNA is filed under the name uncultured bacterium. RNAcentral describes it as "partial 16S ribosomal RNA". It matches the Rfam family "Bacterial small subunit ribosomal RNA", at positions 107 to 334 of the family's 1533-position model. The record is from RNAcentral.
UGAGUAACGCGUAUGCAACUUGCCUAUCAGAGGGGGAUAACCCGGCGAAAGUCGGACUAAUACCGCAUGAAGCAGGGAUCCCGCAUGGGAAUAUUUGCUAAAGAUUCAUCGCUGAUAGAUAGGCAUGCGUUCCAUUAGGCAGUUGGCGGGGUGACGGCCCACCAAACCGACGAUGGAUAGGGGUUCUGAGAGGAAGGUCCCCCACAUUGGUACUGAGACACGGACCAA